Molecule: transfer RNA, 68 nt
Filed under: Podarcis lilfordi (Lilford's wall lizard)
Lineage: Eukaryota; Metazoa; Chordata; Lepidosauria; Squamata; Lacertidae
Description: tRNA.Lys
Rfam family: tRNA (bases 3-60)
About the family: Transfer RNA (tRNA) molecules are approximately 80 nucleotides in length. Their secondary structure includes four short double-helical elements and three loops (D, anti-codon, and T loops). Further hydrogen bonds mediate the characteristic L-shaped molecular structure. tRNAs have two regions of fundamental functional importance: the anti-codon, which is responsible for specific mRNA codon recognition, and the 3' end, to which the tRNAs corresponding amino acid is attached (by aminoacyl-tRNA synthetases). tRNAs cope with the degeneracy of the genetic code in two manners: having more than one tRNA (with a specific anti-codon) for a particular amino acid; and 'wobble' base-pairing, i.e. permitting non-standard base-pairing at the 3rd anti-codon position.
Source: RNAcentral
GAUAGCUCAGUUGGUAGAGCAUGAGACUCUUAAUCUCAGGGUUAUGAGUUCGAGCCCCACAUAAGGCA